RNAcentral lists this microRNA precursor (105 nucleotides) under Myotis lucifugus (little brown bat). Its description in RNAcentral is "microRNA 181a-1 (ENSMLUG00000017926.1)". The stretch from base 12 to 94 matches the Rfam family "mir-181 microRNA precursor family". Rfam says of the family: In this case the mature sequence comes from the 5' arm of the precursor. The extents of the hairpin precursors are not generally known and are estimated based on hairpin prediction. The record is from RNAcentral. Lineage: Eukaryota; Metazoa; Chordata; Mammalia; Chiroptera; Vespertilionidae.
GAGUCUGAGGUUUGCUUCAGUGAACAUUCAACGCUGUCGGUGAGUUUGGAAUUAAAGUCAAAACCAUCGACCGUUGAUUGUACCCUAUGGCUAACCAUCACCUGC